Molecule: transfer RNA, 98 nt
Filed under: Lipomyces starkeyi
Lineage: Eukaryota; Fungi; Ascomycota; Lipomycetes; Lipomycetales; Lipomycetaceae
Also listed under: 1 other name
Description: tRNA-Ser
Rfam family: tRNA
About the family: Transfer RNA (tRNA) molecules are approximately 80 nucleotides in length. Their secondary structure includes four short double-helical elements and three loops (D, anti-codon, and T loops).
Source: RNAcentral
GGCACUAUGGCCGAGUGGUUAAGGCGAAAGACUCGAAUUUGGUGACGUUCGACAUCUUUUCUCGUUUCGAGGCGCAGGUUCGAGUCCUGCUGGUGUCG